Juglans regia (Persian walnut) is the source of this 2378-nucleotide RNA transcript. It is a transcript of the gene named ATPase family AAA domain-containing protein FIGL1, with no coding region annotated. Lineage: Eukaryota; Viridiplantae; Streptophyta; Magnoliopsida; Fagales; Juglandaceae. The record is from RefSeq and is a predicted model, not a curated record. The transcript is spliced from 13 exons.
AUAGCCAGAAACACAGUCACAGAUAGAUCGAAUGCAAAUGCGAAAUGGCGGGAAACGAGGAGCCCAAGUUAAUUUCAGCUUCACCACCAUUACUGUCUCCUUCUUCGAGAGCGAAGAUGGUGGAACAGAAAAAUCAGCAACCAGAAGAGACGUGCUGGAGGAAGCAAGUGGACCAGAACCUGAAGCGGCUCCACUCGCUCCUCUUCGGCGCCGAUCUCGCCCUCGAGCGGCGUGAUCCCUCUGCGGCUUUGAUCCUCGGGCUCCGCCUUCUCGGCUUCCUCGACUCUCAAUCUAGCUCCGAUGUCGAUGAGGCUUUCAUCAACCCCAUCCGCCGUGAAGCCGCUGCGAAGGUCGACGCGGCUCGCCGUUCCCUCAUUCCAGAAUCUGAUCGUCGAGCAUUUGAGCAAGCAAAGAGCACUCCAGGUUCUGUGUUUCGAACAAGAGAAGAGAUUGACAUUGAGAAGAUCAAGAAGUCCAAGUACUUUCGAGCUCUUCUUCGGCAUUCUAAUGGAAAACCAGUGAAUGAAUUGGGAGAUGGUGUGGAGAGGCACAACAAGUUGAGUAGCACGGCUUCAAAAUUCAUGACAGAAGCAAAUUCGAAAUCCAACAUGAUGAGCACUAGUAAUGGCUUAUACAAGAAUUUGUUAAGCUCCAAAAGCAACAACCCUGAUGACUGCAUUAUUGUGGAAAAGCCUCAUUCACAUAACAUCCACACAAAAGGUCAUGGCUUCUCACCUUCUCCAAAAGUUGAAGAGGAAGAAAGAGUUUAUGGAAGUAACGUAAGGGCAAAACGUGCACAUAGGGAAAUUAUUUCGCCUGUGGUAGAUAAUUCAAAGUCACCAUCUGGCAAUGAAGAAGCUAGCCCCGAUGCUUCUGGAAACGGGUUUGUUACAGCUCGAGCAAUAUUGAAAAUGGAUGCAAGGCAAAGACAGGGGUUAGCAGGAUCGCCAAGUGCUUCUGUCUCCCCCCAAAGUGAUAGCAAUUGUGCCAAUAGAGGUUAUGGUGGGAAAUCAUAUGGUUUUUCACGCCGUGGUGUCCGUGGUAGUUUUGUUCCCCCUAUCAAAUCCAGUGGGGGCAAUGUCGGGAAUGUGACUUCACGAAUUGCUGGAAAGUGUGAUGAUUCACUAGAUGACUCAACAAAGAGAUGUUUAGAGAUGCUUUAUGGCCCUGAUGGUGAGCUUCCAGAAAAAUUAAGGAAUUUGGAACCUCGUCUUAUUGAACAUGUCAGUAAUGAGAUUAUGGAGAGGGAUCCUAAUGUUCGUUGGGAUGAUAUUGCUGGUUUGGAGCAUGCUAAAAAAUGUGUGACUGAGAUGGUCAUAUGGCCUCUAUUACGUCCUGACAUAUUUAAAGGUUGUCGUUCUCCUGGAAGAGGUCUUCUUCUUUUUGGUCCACCUGGAACGGGAAAAACAAUGAUUGGGAAAGCCAUAGCUGGAGAGGCAAAAGCAACAUUUUUCUACAUAUCUGCCAGUUCAUUAACUAGCAAGUGGAUUGGUGAGGGUGAAAAGCUAGUGAGGGCCCUUUUUGGAGUAGCCAGUUGUCGUCAGCCAGCUGUGAUUUUUGUUGAUGAAAUUGAUUCACUUCUUUCUCAGGUAAGCGUAAGUCAGAAGGUGAACACGAAUCAAGUAGACGACUUAAGACCCAGUUCCUCAUUGAAAUGGAAGGCUUUGACAGUGGCAGUGAACAAAUUCUGCUCAUAGGAGCAACAAAUCGACCCCAAGAACUGGAUGAAGCAGCACGGAGGCGGCUCACCAAGAGACUUUAUAUCCCCCUUCCUUCAUCAGAAGCAAGAGCCUGGAUCAUACGCAAUCUCUUAGAGAAGGAUGGACUAUUCAAGCUUUCAAAAGAGGAAAUUGUUACGAUUUGUAAUUUGACUGAAGGGUAUUCAGGAUCAGACAUGAAAAACCUAGUGAAGGAUGCAUCUAUGGGUCCACUUAGAGAGGCUCUGAGACAAGGCAUAGAAAUUACAAAGCUAAAAAAGGAGGAUAUGCGGCCAGUAACGCUUCAGGACUUUGAGAACGCAUUGCAAGAGGUAAGGCCCUCAGUUUCUUUGAAUGAACUUGGUACUUAUGAUGAGUGGAACAAGCAAUUUGGAAGUUUAUCACUCUAGGAAUGAGUUUUGUUAAUGCAAAGCGACAAGGAAAAUCACCCCUUGUUUACUUGAUCAUAAUAAUGGUAGUACUUUUUACUUCAUCGCAGCACCAAGUGGGUCAUCGGUUUAGUUUCUCGUUAAUAUAGUUCAUCAGAAGAAAGAAAGAAAAAAAUAGAGGUGUUUGUCGACUUCUAGGUCCUAUUAUUCGUAUUUUGUGAACUGCCCCUAUUUCCCGAUUUCAAACUCUCGUUUUCAGCCUUUCUAGAGUGCAAGUAUAACUCCCCCAGUC